AUCCAUAUGACGAGUCGAAAAUGGGACGAAAUGCGCGUUAUCCUGGAU
This 48-nucleotide non-coding RNA is filed under the name Trichobilharzia regenti. Lineage: Eukaryota; Metazoa; Platyhelminthes; Trematoda; Strigeidida; Schistosomatidae. The record is from RNAcentral.